Long non-coding RNA from Mauremys mutica (yellowpond turtle), 152 nucleotides. RefSeq lists it as uncharacterized. The transcript is spliced from 2 exons. Lineage: Eukaryota; Metazoa; Chordata; Testudines; Geoemydidae. The record is from RefSeq and is a predicted model, not a curated record.
UGUUGGAGCAGAGGACAGUUUGGAGAAGUGCUGUGGUGGGCUAAGAAGUCCUAGACCCUAGGAUUCAUAGGUCACAGAGCUUUCUGCACUUCUCCAGCUGUCAUCUCCAAUCUCAUCACUUAUGAGAAAUUCAUUCAGCUUCUGUACGCUUU